This 433-nucleotide ribosomal RNA is filed under the name uncultured bacterium. RNAcentral describes it as "partial 16S ribosomal RNA". It matches the Rfam family "Bacterial small subunit ribosomal RNA", at positions 29 to 507 of the family's 1533-position model. The record is from RNAcentral.
AACGAACGCUGGCGGCAGGCCUAACACAUGCGAGUCGAGCGAGGACUUCGGUCCUAGCGGCGGACGGGUGAGUAACGCGUGGGAACGUGCCCUUUGCUUCGGAAUAGCCCUGGGAAACUGGGAGUAAUACCGGAUGAGCCCUUUGGGGGAAAGAUUUAUCGGCGAAGGAUCGGCCCGCGUUGGAUUAGGUAGUUGGUGGGGUAAUGGCCUACCAAGCCGACGAUCCAUAGCUGGUUUGAGAGGAUGAUCAGCCACACUGGGGCUGAGACACGGCCCAGACUCCUACGGGAGGCAGCAGUGGGGAAUCUUAGACAAUGGGGGAAACCCUGAUCGAGCCAUGCCGCGUGAGCGAUGAAGGCCUUAGGGUUGUAAAGCUCUUUCAGCUGGGAAGAUAAUGACGGUACCAGCAGAAGAAGCCCCGGCUAACUCCGUG